This is a long non-coding RNA of Gallus gallus (chicken), 1878 nucleotides long. RefSeq lists it as uncharacterized. The transcript has 3 exons. NCBI's taxonomy places the organism in Eukaryota, Metazoa, Chordata, Aves, Galliformes, Phasianidae. The record is from RefSeq and is a predicted model, not a curated record.
ACAGUUUCACCAGAGAGUCAGCAGCAGCAAGAAGGUGAGAGACCAGUCAUGCAAGAGCUUCAACUACAUACAAAGAGAGAAAAGGUAGGAAAUGAGAAGAUUUUGUUCCCUCCUGGCAAGCAUGACUGCUACUCAUCACCAUUCAACUGGAAAAAAAAGGACGGAGAGCAAAUCACACCACAUUCACAUGAUAUCCAACGGUGUCUGAGAAAUAUUUAUUUUAUUCCUAACGUCAGUCACCCUUUUGAAAUUUGCUUUCCCACCAAGCAAAGAAUAGAAUCAGGUUCUUCCAAUUAAACUCCUCCUGUCAUUGAUGCCUGCUGCAGAUGGAUGGACUACUAGCGAUUUUCUUACUGGGUGACACUUCCAGUUGGACUCCUCUCACCGUAUGUAUCACUACUGCUGGACAAACAACUACCUUACUUCCUGCUUGGGAUAAGACCUUAUCGCUUCAAACUAGAUAGUCAUUGAAGGAUCCUUCCAAAUGAACUAUUCUAAGAUUCCUACAGAAGCUAUUCGCUGAGAGAAGAAUUGGGAACAGGUGUGAGAAGAUCAUAAGGUGCAGAAGAAAAAGGUAUUAAUUUUAUUUUUAAUAUAGCAAAUAGCCACCAAAUAUAGCCAACAAGGAUUCCUAGUUCCAGCUGUUUCAUUGCAGUACAUAGCUCUGCACCAUUUCUUCCCACCUUUCUGCUUCUCAGACAGAACUGGAGAUUUUUAAAAGACCACUGUUUGAAAACUGACUGUUAUACUGCAUCAUCUUGAGGUCAAUUAAAAUAUAUUAACAAUAGAUUCAACUUUUCAGUACAAUUUAUAUUGCUUUGAGAUACGUUACUGUUCUUCUCAAUUCAACUUUCCCUCAAUAAAUGGCAAAUUAAAUUUGCUAUAACACAAAUCAAGAAAGAUCAAAUGGAACUGUAAACAAGGUUAAUCAGAAAAAGUGGCAAAGCAAAAGAGAAAAGGAAGAAGAUGAGAACAAAGAUGUCCCAUAAAGAAGAAGAGGGUUGAAUGGGAUCAGACAUAAAAGAAGGAAAAGAUCAAGAAUGAGGUGCAGCAACAAAUUUGGGUGUAAAAGACAGGAAAAACAAGUAUAAGGAGGUGUAAUAUCUGGAUUUGUUUAAUAUGUUGCUCUCAAAAUAAAACAAAAAAUUGUCUGAAGAUGAUGGUGAAAAAGUAAAAAAAAAAAAAAAGUGAAAAAUAAAACACAUUUGUUUGAUCUUUAUCCAUACCAGGCUUAUGAUGUAAUCUCAACAGAAAGAAACUAAGCUCAGGCUGGGGACCAUGCUUAUUUAGAUGAUCUUCAGCUAAAACAAAGGUGUUUCUGGAAGCAGCUCUGAUUACGUUCUCUGAGUGAAUGUCUGCCUUGGUUCCAAAGUAUGCUUUGGAGGAUGGUAAGCAGAUGUAGGAGCUCGUACUUUGCAUAAGCCAAAGCUCCAAAAACUCAGAAGCUGAAACUGCGGUCAUACACAGAAGUCUGACACUUUCUCAGAAUCUGUGCUUUUAAUUAUCAUAUCACGUACAGUACGAUAUGCACUUUUAUUCAUGAGAAAAAAAGCACAACAGUAAAAAAACAAAGACUGUUUUCCUAUGCUUCCAUAAUACUUCAAAGUGGGAUCAAAGUAGUUACAUCUGCAGUGCCAUAUUUAAUUUUGAUAAUAUACUUCACUCAGAUUUUCACAUUACAAACUAAGGAAGUGCUUUUACUGUAUACUGUUUAAUAGCACAGUAAUAGAACAUUCUCCUUUCUUUAUUCCUCUCUAAUUCCCCUCCAAAUACAAAAUCAAAACUACUUAAUGUUCAUCUUAAAAUUCUUUUGCUUGCAGUAGUUUCCUGAGAACCUGUUUUCCUAAUUUUUUCUGCCUAACUGUAUCUGCUUUUUUA